RNAcentral lists this ribosomal RNA (253 nucleotides) under uncultured bacterium. RNAcentral's name for it is "partial 16S ribosomal RNA". It matches the Rfam family "Bacterial small subunit ribosomal RNA", at positions 524 to 776 of the family's 1533-position model. The record is from RNAcentral.
GACGAACCGUGCGAACGUUGUUCGGAAUCACUGGGCUUAAAGGGCGCGUAGGCGGGUGCUCAAGUCCGUGGUGAAAUCCUCCGGCUCAACCGGAGAACUGCCUCGGAUACUGGGUGCCUCGAGGGUGGUAGGGGUAUGCGGAACUAUCGGUGGAGCGGUGAAAUGCGUUGAUAUCGAUAGGAACUCCGGUGGCGAAGGCGGCAUACUGGACCACCUCUGACGCUGAGGCGCGAAAGCUAGGGUAGCGAACGGG